GCUCCCAUGGUGUAGUGGUCACUGUGCUUGCCUUGCACGCAGGAGGCCCGGGUUCAAUUCUCAGUGGGGUCA
RNAcentral lists this transfer RNA (72 nucleotides) under Diaphorina citri (Asian citrus psyllid). It matches the Rfam family "tRNA". From Rfam's summary of the family: Transfer RNA (tRNA) molecules are approximately 80 nucleotides in length. The record is from Rfam by way of RNAcentral. Lineage: Eukaryota; Metazoa; Arthropoda; Insecta; Hemiptera; Psyllidae.